This is a long non-coding RNA of Astyanax mexicanus (Mexican tetra), 805 nucleotides long. RefSeq lists it as uncharacterized. Lineage: Eukaryota; Metazoa; Chordata; Actinopteri; Characiformes; Acestrorhamphidae. The record is from RefSeq and is a predicted model, not a curated record. The transcript has 3 exons.
UAAAAAGUGAUUCUAGCUCGAAGUAAAUAUUACUUAAAAAAUUAUAUGAAACGCAAACAAUUAAAUUACUUUAAUGUUGUUUAUUUUUUUUUUACGUUUUCUGAACUUAUAAUUUGCAUUAUAAACUGAACUAAACAAGCUUGUCAAAAUCUACUUAAUUUUUUUAAGUUUCAAGCAACAAUGUUGAACUGAGUUGACACAACUUUAUUUGAAUCAGUUCAAAUUAAAAGAAGCUUUGGUUCAAAUACAGAGCAAGACGUGCACCAUUUACAGCCGUUCGACUGGCAGUGCCAAGGCCGGAGCGUCAGGAAGAAGAAUGCAAGGCAUAAUGAGCUGUUUGGUUAAGGUAAGUUUAUUUUUAUUUUUAAAUAAAGGUGCCAAUAAAUGUGCAGUACUGUAGGAAUGUUUUUGUUUUUCUUACAAUUUUAAUUCACGUUUUUUGAGAACACUGUAAAAGAGAUAUUUGAAUUAGCAACAGAUUUUUUUAGCACCCGACAUGAGUAAUCUCAUUCUCAGGAGAAGCUCCAUCUUUGUUGGAUCUUGUUGGAAUAAACAACAAUGAGCCUGUUUGUGGCACUUUAUUAAGAACAAAAACAGCAGCAUUACUUGUGCUUUUAUAAAAUUGAUUAAAAAAUGUUUUGUUUGUCUAGGGAGCAGUCACCACUGAGCCUGGUGGAGUAUGUGGGGGGAACAUGGCCUGCUCGCAGAACACUUUGAUGAGGGUGAGGUCAAUAUUUCACAGCACAUCAUGAAGAUCUUCACAGUGAAGGAAGAGGGUGCAACAGAGGAUGAAGGUAUCUUUGAG